UACGUAGGUGGCGAGCGUUGUCCGGAUUUAUUGGGCGUAAAGCGCGCGCAGGUGGUGUGGUCAGUCUGUCGUGAAAUCUCCCGGCUCAACUGGGAGGGUGCGGUGGAGACGGCCAGACUAGAGGCACUCAGAGGCCGGUGGAAUUCCCGGUGUAGUGGUGAAAUGCGUAGAGAUCGGGAGGAACACCAGUGGCGAAGGCGGCCGGCUGGGGGUGACCUGACGCUGAGGCGCGAAGGCGUGGGGAGCGAACGGG
Molecule: ribosomal RNA, 253 nt
Filed under: uncultured bacterium
Lineage: Bacteria
Description: partial 16S ribosomal RNA
Rfam family: Bacterial small subunit ribosomal RNA
Source: RNAcentral